GAUGAAUGCUGGCGGCGUGCCUAAUAUAUGCAAGUCGAGCGAACGGACGAGAAGCUUGCUUCUCUGAUGUUAGCGGCGGACGGGUGAGUAACACGUGGAUAACCUACCUAUAAGACUGGGAUAACUUCGGGAAACCGGAGCUAAUACCGGAUAAUAUUUUGAACCGCAUGAUUCAAAAGUGAAAGACGGUCUUGCUGUCACUUAUAGAUGGAUCCGCGCUGCAUUAGCUAGUUGGUAAGGUAACGGCUUACCAAGGCAACGAUGCAUAGCCGACCUGAGAGGGUGAUCGGCCACAUUGGAACUGAGACACGGUCCAGACUCCUACGGGAGGCAGCAGUAGGGAAUCUUCCGCAAUGGGCGAAAGCCUGACGGAGCAACGCCGCGUGAGUGAUGAAGGUCUUCGGAUCGUAAAACUCUGUUAUUAGGGAAGAACAUAUGUGUAAGUAACUGUGCACAUCUUGACGGUACCUAAUCAGAAAGCCACGGCUAACUACGUG
Molecule: ribosomal RNA, 497 nt
Filed under: uncultured bacterium
Lineage: Bacteria
Description: partial 16S ribosomal RNA
Rfam family: Bacterial small subunit ribosomal RNA
Source: RNAcentral